GACGAACGCUGGCGGCGUGCUUAACACAUGCAAGUCGAGCGGUAAGGCCCUUUCGGGGGUACACGAGCGGCGAACGGGUGAGUAACACGUGGGUGACCUGCCCUCAGCUCUGGGAUAAGCCUGGGAAACCGGGUCUAAUACCGGAUAUGACUCCAUGACGCAUGUUGUGGGGUGGAAAGCCUUGUGCGGCUGAGGAUGGGCCCGCGGCCUAUCAGCUUGUUGGUGGGGNGAUGGCCUACCAAGGCGACGACGGGUAGCCGGCCUGAGAGGGCGACCGGCCACACUGGGACUGAGACACGGCCCAGACUCCUACGGGAGGCAGCAGUGGGGAAUCUUGCGCAAUGGGCGAAAGCCUGACGCAGCGACACCGCGUGAGGGAUGACGGCCU
This 388-nucleotide ribosomal RNA is filed under the name uncultured bacterium. RNAcentral describes it as "bacterial SSU rRNA". It matches the Rfam family "Bacterial small subunit ribosomal RNA", at positions 28 to 417 of the family's 1533-position model. The record is from RNAcentral.